RNAcentral lists this ribosomal RNA (582 nucleotides) under Blastocystis sp. RNAcentral describes it as "SSU rRNA". It matches the Rfam family "Eukaryotic small subunit ribosomal RNA", at positions 31 to 597 of the family's 1831-position model. The record is from RNAcentral. Lineage: Eukaryota; Bigyra; Opalinata; Blastocystidae.
UAUUUUAUGGGGAGACAGUACAGUAGUCAUCCUCUCGUAUCAAAGACUAAGCCAUGCAUGUGUUAAUAUAAAUUUUCUUCUUGGAGCGAGCGAAUGGCUCAUUCUAUCAGUUAUAGUUAAUAAGAAGAAAUGUACUGGAUGGAUACCCGUAGUAUUUCUAGAACUAAUCCAUGAUCCAUUCCUGGUCUGUGAAGCGGGGUAUUUAUUAGAAUGAAAACCAAUUGAUUUCGUAUGUUGGGGAGUAAUAAUACCUUGUCAUUUCCCAUGAAUAGGUAGAGAUGUUUCUUCAAAGUUUUUCCCCUCUCAUCUUUCGAGGGUAGUGUAUGGGUCUCCCAUCGCAGUCACGGGUAGAGAAGAUUGGGGGUUAGUUUUCGGAGGGGGAGCGUGAGAGACGUUUCCCACCCCCAAGGAAGACAGCAGGCGUGUAAAUUACCCAAUCCUGCCACAGGGAGGUAGUCACUAUAUAUCACAAUGGGGAAAUUGAGUUUUGCAAUUGGAUUGAGAACAAUGCACAACAAUUAUCGAUAAACAAUUGGAGGGCAAGUCUGGGCCAGCAAACGCGGUAUCCAGUACCCAAUGCCU